UACGUAGGGUCCGAGCGUUGUCCGGAAUUAUUGGGCGUAAAGAGCUCGUAGGCGGUCUGUCGCGUCUGCUGUGAAAACUCGGGGCUUAACCCCGGGCCUGCAGUGGGUACGGGCAGACUAGAGUGCGGUAGGGGAGACUGGAAUUCCUGGUGUAGCGGUGAAAUGCGCAGAUAUCAGGAGGAACACCGGUGGCGAAGGCGGGUCUCUGGGCCGUAACUGACGCUGAGGAGCGAAAGCAUGGGGAGCGAACAGG
This 253-nucleotide ribosomal RNA is filed under the name uncultured bacterium. RNAcentral's name for it is "partial 16S ribosomal RNA". It matches the Rfam family "Bacterial small subunit ribosomal RNA", at positions 524 to 776 of the family's 1533-position model. The record is from RNAcentral.